RNAcentral lists this ribosomal RNA (253 nucleotides) under uncultured bacterium. RNAcentral describes it as "partial 16S ribosomal RNA". It matches the Rfam family "Bacterial small subunit ribosomal RNA", at positions 524 to 776 of the family's 1533-position model. The record is from RNAcentral.
UACAGAGGGGGCAAGCGUUAUUCGGAAUUAUUGGGCGUAAAGGGCGCGUAGGCGGCUUUGCAAGUGGCGGGUGAAAUCCCUCGGCUUAGCCGAGGAACUGCCUGUCAAACUGCAUGGCUUGAGACCAGGAGAGGUGAGUGGAAUUCCCAGUGUAGCGGUGAAAUGCGUAGAUAUUGGGAGGAACACCAGUGGCGAAGGCGGCUCACUGGACUGGUACUGACGCUGAUGCGCGAAAGCGUGGGGAGCAAACAGG